AAAAAAAAAAAAAAAAAAACUAAACUCUCAUGCAAAUUUUAAACAGCAGACAACUUAUAAUUAUGUCUACAAGCGUAUUUGACGACCUCUUCUAACUCCUCUUCAUUGAUGUAGCCAUCUCCGUUUCUGUCAGCAUGAUGCAGGGCUCGCUGAGCUCGCCAUCCAGGAAGUCGGGAACCUAAGUGAUUGAAGGCUUUUAUAAGCUCUUGCCUACUUAGAAGUCCAUCCCUGUCUGUGUCAAAAUGCCUAAAGAUAUCUUUUAGUUGAGGUUCAGUAAGGGGAAGAGGACAGCAUUUGCACUUGAUGUGGAAGAGAGCCAUCUUCUUGAUAUGUUUUGGCAAGAAUUUGGAUUGAUUAAUCGCUUGGUCUGAUAUCUAAGAAGGGAUGAGAGCUGGGGUCUA
This 401-nucleotide unclassified non-coding RNA is filed under the name Hevea brasiliensis (rubber tree). The record is from RNAcentral. Lineage: Eukaryota; Viridiplantae; Streptophyta; Magnoliopsida; Malpighiales; Euphorbiaceae.